Molecule: long non-coding RNA, 940 nt
Filed under: Equus caballus (horse)
Lineage: Eukaryota; Metazoa; Chordata; Mammalia; Perissodactyla; Equidae
Description: lncRNA (ENSECAG00000050959.1)
Source: RNAcentral
CAAGUUCUGAAUUGCAUGUUGCUAGGAGCCCUGUGGCUGCUUGGUGGUGAGGAGGCUGGAGUUGGCCUCGGGGUGAAGCAGAGAGACCAGCUAAGAGGGCACUGCCCAGCAAUCCUGGUGACAGACAGUGGGCCCUGUGGGUGAAGUCUGUGUGCACUUCUUGUCCUGCAGAGGGAACAAGCAGGACGAGGAGGAGAACCAGGUGUCAGCGUGAAGAAAAUGAGAGCACUGGGGAGAACGAAGGCAGGCUGUUUCCUUCAGGUCCACUGGGCGACGGACAGUGAUUGUGGCCUCAAGAUCCAAUCACCCAGAGAGAGGUGUGAGGGAACUCAGCUCCCGGCUUUCUCGGUUGUCCUCUCUUCCUGAAUCCAUCUGUGGUGUCAACCAGUCAUGGAUGCAGGAGACUCUGAAGUUAAGCCCAGCAGCACCACACUGAGCAUCCUGAGGAAGAGACCUGAAUACUUAAAGCCCCAAAACCUUGCCUGCAAAAACAUGGUUCUGCAUAAGACAGGUGAGCUCAGAAUCGUCACUGAGGUCUGGGGCAGUGUGGACUCAGCAGCUGAGGCAGCCUGAAGUCACCGUCCACCUGGAGAGCUGGGUCAGAAGAUGGAGGCAGAGACAAAUAUCCCGUGUCUCUGUUUAGCCUUAUUUCAGGUCAGUGGGUAUGAUUUUACCUGAGGCAUUUGCUUUGAGUCUUUACCAAACACUGUGGAAUCGGAUUACCACUGAUCUAGACAUUCUCAGACAUCACCGGAAGUUCAUGUCCGCGGAGGCGGGCCCAGGGCAGGGGCAGGUGCGGCCAUGGGCGGUACCUGGAGCCUGCGCGGGCUCCGCCCACAAGCCAGUGGCUGCUAGUGCGCAGGCGCCAGAUGGAGUGCACGCAUGGGACAGGGAGGACGCAGAGGCGGUCCUAAGGCCUGCUCGAGGAGGCGGGGUCACA